CACAACCUCACCUUUGUAAUUUGUACUAACAAAAUAAAUACACUCCAUCCUACUAAGUAUAAAUAAUCUCAAUUAAUUGUCUUAUCAACACUCCAUUGGAAGGUUCAAUUGGUGUAACACCUAGAGAUGAGGCUUCUUCACAUUUUUUUGGCUUUGCUCAUUAUGGCUUCAAUGUCAAGAGCUCAACCUCCUGUUGGUCCAACAACUUGUCCUGUGCCUAAAGAUAAAUGUGAAGAGGCAUGCAAUGUGAGAUGUUCACAAAAAGGUCACAAAAAAAGAUGUUUGUUUUAUUGCAACCAUUGUUGUGGAUGGUGUCAAUGUGUUCCACCAGGUUAUGUUGGUGAAAAUAAAGAUUGUUGUCCUUGCUAUAGAGAUUGGAAGAAACAGACAGGAGAACCAAAAUGUCCAUGAAAUUAAAAAUUAAUUAAAUUAAUUUAUCAUGGAUUAACAAUAUGGUUUUUAUUGUAUUAAUACUUUAUUUGAUCUUCUUGAGAGUGUUGUUAAUAUAUCUUUAACUUUUUUAUGCA
Solanum lycopersicum (tomato) is the source of this 527-nucleotide long non-coding RNA. RefSeq lists it as uncharacterized. The record is from RefSeq and is a predicted model, not a curated record. Lineage: Eukaryota; Viridiplantae; Streptophyta; Magnoliopsida; Solanales; Solanaceae.